GUGAAUCAUCGAAUCUUUGAACGCAAAUUGCACUCUCCGGUUUUCCGGGAAAGUAUGCCUGUUUGAGGGUCUGUUUAAAAAAUUAUUGAGGCUGCUGCUGUGGUGGCCCUUCGGGAUUGGGUCCUCUUUCAACUUUUGGUUGUAAGCGACCCAAAAUUUUUUUUUCGAUUUUUACGAACCUUUCUAAGAAUUUCCUGUUCGUUUA
This 205-nucleotide unclassified non-coding RNA is filed under the name Glomus sp. Its description in RNAcentral is "partial contains 5.8S ribosomal RNA and internal transcribed spacer 2". The stretch from base 1 to 72 matches the Rfam family "5.8S ribosomal RNA", at positions 84 to 154 of the family's 154-position model. The record is from RNAcentral. Lineage: Eukaryota; Fungi; Glomeromycota; Glomeromycetes; Glomerales; Glomeraceae.